CAAAUUUACAAUCCCUUAAAACCGCGCUCUUUAAAUCCUCCAAACACACAUCACCGGCGCACAAUACAAUUCUUCCCAUUUUUGUCUCAUCAUUCACCACUGCAUUUCUCACGCUCCACCACUCACACCCUCCUUUUUUUGAAACCUCACACGCCACCAUCUCUUCUGGUUCUGACGGAUUAUGAACAAACAACAAGUCUCCUAUAGAAAUCAACUUAAUCGUAUUCAACAAUUCACUUUUGUUGCCUCGUAGUUUCUUCACCAUUUUGCUCGGCAUCACACCUAAUUUCUCCAUUUUUAACCAUAAUCCUAAUUUCUCUUUCACUUCCCACACUUUCACUCCUUUCAUGUUUUCUGCGUUACCUACUAUUCCCACAACCACCAAACGAUUCUUCAAUGUUCCCGUCUCGUAGUGAAAUACGCUCUCUUCUCCUCGUAGAUCAUAAGGUCCUUGCCACGUCAUCAUUUUACAAUCAAAUGAGUACAUUGUGCCUGAGUUUUUCUCCAUCACGUGCAUAAACUCACCGGCAACGGCAACAGAGAGCCACAUCGACGCUGUGGUAUCCUUCAUCAUCUCCGGCAUUGAUUCACACCGAAUCCAAUCACGAGACUCCAUGUCGUAGAUCUCCACUGCUAAAGGAUCGUCCUCAAAGUCACAUACCCCACCAGCAACAACGAUGCACUUUCCCACACGUGCAACAAUGGGAUCCACACGCCAAACACGUGGUGAUGGCACGUGGUUCCACGUAAGGUGGAGCGGAUCAAAGGAGAAGGAAAAUUCAGUUGGAGAAAGUGUGUAAAGGAGCGUGGAGUGUGAUGACCGUAAAGCUGGGGUGUGAUUAAUUUGUGGCGCGUGAAUUUGGAUCCACGUUAAAGAGCGUGGGUCAUAGGCAUAUGUUGUGGUCACGUGGGGAGCUCGGGGGUUUUGAGUGUGAACCGUGAGCCACGGCUUCACGGGGUUGACAUGGCGGAGGGAGCUCAAUACUGCAUGGUUCCAUUGCUUUGACACGUAACUGGCUGGCACCAAGUAAAUGAGUGGCACGUACGAAAGUGUGGCCUCUAAGAUAUCUCCAUGGAUGGGAGCUUCUACUUCUUUUUCCUGAAUUUUCUUUGUUGCCAUUAUACAAUUGUUAUGUAUUGAGUUGGCUUUUUCCCCUCUUUUAUUCUAAGUAAAGCAAAAUUUAUGUAUAACGAGUAGUGAGGUAAUGUGCAGGAAUGGCUGCAUCUUAAGGGAUUUAUAUAGGAGGUGGGAACCGAAUUGGAAGGGAUAGCAUACCUAGAACAAAACUUUAUCUCCAUAUAUAGAAUGCCAUUUGUCCUAUUAUUUAAUGCUGC
This 1335-nucleotide long non-coding RNA is filed under the name Medicago truncatula (barrel medic). Its description in RNAcentral is "lncRNA gene48009". Lineage: Eukaryota; Viridiplantae; Streptophyta; Magnoliopsida; Fabales; Fabaceae. The record is from RNAcentral.